RNAcentral lists this ribosomal RNA (428 nucleotides) under Bacteroidota bacterium. RNAcentral describes it as "Bacteroidetes bacterium partial 16S ribosomal RNA". It matches the Rfam family "Bacterial small subunit ribosomal RNA", at positions 355 to 776 of the family's 1533-position model. The record is from RNAcentral. Lineage: Bacteria; Pseudomonadati; Bacteroidota.
UAGGGAAUCUUCCGCAAUGGACGCAAGUCUGACGGAGCAACGCCGCGUGAGUGAAGAAGGAUUUCGGUUCGUAAAACUCUGUUGUUAGAGAAGAACAGCGCAUAGAGUAACUGUUAUGCGUGUGACGGUAUCUAACCAGAAAGGGACUGCUAACUACGUGCCAGCAGCCGCGGUAGUACGUAGGUCCCGAGCGUUGUCCGGAUUUAUUGGGCGUAAAGCGAGCGCAGGCGGUUAGAAAAGUCUGAAGUGAAAGGCAGUGGCUCAACCAUUGUAGGCUUUGGAAACUGUUUAACUUGAGUGCAGAAGGGGAGAGUGGAAUUCCAUGUGUAGCGGUGAAAUGCGUAGAUAUAUGGAGGAACACCGGUGGCGAAAGCGGCUCUCUGGUCUGUAACUGACGCUGAGGCUCGAAAGCGUGGGGAGCGAACAGG